This 518-nucleotide ribosomal RNA is filed under the name uncultured bacterium. RNAcentral's name for it is "bacterial SSU rRNA". It matches the Rfam family "Bacterial small subunit ribosomal RNA", at positions 992 to 1509 of the family's 1533-position model. The record is from RNAcentral.
AGAACUUAGCAGAGAUGCUUUGGUGCCUUCGGGAACUCUGAGACAGGUGCUGCAUGGCUGUCGUCAGCUCGUGUUGUGAAAUGUUGGGUUAAGUCCCGCAACGAGCGCAACCCUUAUCCUUUGUUGCCAGCGGUUAGGCCGGGAACUCAAAGGAGACUGCCAGUGAUAAACUGGAGGAAGGUGGGGAUGACGUCAAGUCAUCAUGGCCCUUACGAGUAGGGCUACACACGUGCUACAAUGGCGCAUACAAAGAGAAGCGACCUCGCGAGAGCAAGCGGGACCUCAUAAAGUGCGUCGUAGUCCGGAUUGGAGUCUGCAACUCGACUCCAUGAAGUCGGAAUCGCUAGUAAUCGUGGAUCAGAAUGCCACGGUGAAUACGUUCCCGGGCCUUGUACACACCGCCCGUCACACCAUGGGAGUGGGUUGCAAAAGAAGUAGGUAGCUUAACCUUCGGGAGGGCGCUUACCACUUUGUGAUUCAUGACUGGGGUGAAGUCGUAACAAGGUAAGCGUAGUGCU